RNAcentral lists this ribosomal RNA (122 nucleotides) under Rasamsonia piperina. RNAcentral describes it as "partial 18S ribosomal RNA". Lineage: Eukaryota; Fungi; Ascomycota; Eurotiomycetes; Eurotiales; Trichocomaceae. The record is from RNAcentral.
GAAGUGGGUGGGGUCCCCAGGCCUGGGACCCUGCUUAAGAUAUAGUCGGGCCACCUGGGAGACCAGGUGGGAAGUACACCGCUACGAACCGUUCCGUAGGUGAACCUGCGGAAGGAUCAUUA